GGGCCUGGGGGUAUGAUCAGUACGGCGAGUGAAGCGGCAAGAGCUCAAAUUUGAAAGCUGGCUCCUUCGGGGUCCGCAUUGUAAUUUGCAGAGGAUGCUUCGGGUGCAGCCCCCGUCUAAGUGCCCUGGAACGGGCCGUCAUAGAGGGUGAGAAUCCCGUAUGGGGCGGGGUGUCUGCGUCCGUGUGAAGCUCCUUCGACGAGUCGAGUUGUUUGGGAAUGCAGCUCUAAAUGGGUGGUAAAUUUCAUCUAAAGCUAAAUACUGGCCGGAGACCGAUAGCGCACAAGUAGAGUGAUCGAAAGAUGAAAAGCACUUUGAAAAGAGAGUUAAACAGCACGUGAAAUUGUUGAAAGGGAAGCGCUUGCAACCAGACUCGCUCGCGGGGUUCAGCCGGGCUUCGGCCCGGUGUACUUCCCCGCGGGCGGGCCAGCGUCGGUUUGGGCGGCCGGUCAAAGGCCUCCGGAAUGUAGCGCCCUUCGGGGCGCCUUAUAGCCGGGGGUGCAAUGCGGCCAGCCUGGACCGAGGAACGCGCUUCGGCACGGACGCUGGCAUAAUGGUUGUAAACGACCCGUCUUGAAACACGGGACCAAA
Molecule: ribosomal RNA, 591 nt
Filed under: Aspergillus terreus
Lineage: Eukaryota; Fungi; Ascomycota; Eurotiomycetes; Eurotiales; Aspergillaceae
Description: partial large subunit ribosomal RNA
Rfam family: Eukaryotic large subunit ribosomal RNA
Source: RNAcentral